Molecule: ribosomal RNA, 301 nt
Filed under: uncultured bacterium
Lineage: Bacteria
Description: partial 16S ribosomal RNA
Rfam family: Bacterial small subunit ribosomal RNA
Source: RNAcentral
CAGCAGCCACGGGAAUACGGAGGGGGCUAGCGUUGUUCGGAAUUACUGGGCGUAAAGCGCACGUAGGCGGCUUGGUAAGUUAGAGGUGAAAGCCUGGAGCUCAACUCCAGAAUUGCCUUUAAGACUGCCGAGCUAGCAGGUGAGAGAGGUAAGUGGAAUUCCGAGUGUAGCGGUGAAAUGCGUAGAGAUCGGAAGGAACGUCUGUGGCGAAGGCGACUAUCUGGGCCAACACUGACACUGAGGCACGAAAGCGUGGGGAGCAAACAGGAUUAGAUACCCGCGUAGUCCCUGUCUCUUAUAC